Molecule: non-coding RNA, 800 nt
Filed under: Chelinidea tabulata
Lineage: Eukaryota; Metazoa; Arthropoda; Insecta; Hemiptera; Coreidae
Source: RNAcentral
UGAGAUUGAUCCUGUCUUUUAAGUGCUAAUUUGUUUGUAGAUAAUAUUAAAUAUAAGUUUUUGCGGGAUGUUAAUUUUUGUCUUAAUGAUGAAAGGUUAAUGGAUGUUUUUAUUUGUAGUUUUUAAUUUUGAGUAACAUGUAAUUGUGUUUUCAGUUAAUUUAUUUUAGGACUGUUUAAAGUUGUGCCAGCAUACGCGGUUAUACAUCUGAUCCAAAUAAAUUUUUUUGGUUGAUUAUUAAAUUGUUAUUGAUUGAAGGUUAAUUUUUGUCUUAUUAAGUGAAAUUUUUAAGGAAGAAUAUAAUUUUUUGGUUUAAGAUUAUAAGAAAUUUAGGGUUAUAAACUAGGAUUAGAUACCCUAUUAUUCUAAAUUUAAAAUGUUUACCAUAGUACUAAUAGUUAAGAUCUUUAAAUUAAAAGGAUUUGGCGGUAAUUUAGUCUUUUCAGAGGAACCUGUUCUGUAAUCGAUGAUCCACGUUGGAUUUAACUUUAGUUUUUGUUUGUAUAUCUAUGUCAUUGAAUGUUUUAUUAGGAUAUUUUCUUUAAUUAUUAAUUUAAUUAAUGUCAGGUCAAGGUGCAGCUAUAUUAAAGGUUGAAAUGGGUUACAUUUAAUGUUUAUUUAUUGGAUUAUAUUUAUUGGAUAUAUUAAUGUUAUAUGAAAUAGGAUUUGAAAGUAAUUUUCAUUAUUUUAUGAUAAUGAUUUUAGCUCUAAAUUAUGCACACAUCGCCCGUCGUUCUCAUUAUUAAGGUGAGAUAAGUCGUAACAAAGUAAUUUUACCGGAAGGUGAAGUUGGAAUUAUA